UCUCCUCCUCCAGGCUGGGGAGGGGCACCGUGCUUCCGAGCCAACCACCCCGGGCUCUGCGGAGGCUCCGAGCCCGGGAGCAGGCUGGGGAGAGAAAGGCCCCAUUGUGACUGUCUGAUUAGAGGGGAGCGGUGGGGCGAGGAUUACACCAGCAGGAUGCGGUGCCUGGCUCUGGGCAGGAUGUAAUUCUCUCCCCCCCCCCCCAGCUUUCUCCCUUCCCCUCUGCCUCCCCCACGCGCUUGCCCUGGUGUGUGUUUGGAGGAGGGGGUGUCUGCAUUGAGAUUAGGGGGUCAUCUUUAAACGAAAGAAUCAUCGCUUUUUAAUGAACCUUUCCCUUUGCAUUUUAUUAAAAUUGGCUCCUGAGCCCCAUCACAUGGGAGCCUGGGGGCAUUUCCAGCAUCCCUUGUAAAAAAAAACUAAUCUCCUAUUCUAGCCAUGAUGGGUUUGGUCAGUUUUUUAAAUCUAAAACCCCAGCAAUCACAGCAUUAAAAUGGAAGUGAGUGUGGGGUCUAUUGGUUAGAACUGGCACUAUGAGCUUACAUCUGGAGGAGUGGGAGUUAGGACUCCUAGGUUCUACUACUGAGGUCUUGGACAGGAGUAUAGUCUAAUGGUUAAAGCAAGAGAUUGGGAGUUCCAUCUAAUCUGCUGCCAAUCGGGGAUAUCAGCACUCCUGAAUUCUUGUGUGAUCAUGGGCAAGUCCGUGCCUCAGUUUCACUAUCUGAAAAAUGGUAGCCUGGUACCACAGUGGUGCUUUGAACUGAAGUCCUGAAACUUGAUGUAUCCUGGAAGCAAAGCACAGUCUUAUUGUUUCAUGAAUGAUGACAAAGCUAAUCAAGGGGACACUUCCUGAGCAUAAUUGGGGAACUGAUAGCCUGGGUCAGGGUCAUUAACCCUCUGUUGGUCAUUCAUUCCUAGUAAAUGCCUUGUGUCAAGCUCUGGCUUGUUGUUUAUAAGUCUCAAUUGGAAAAUAAAAAGAUAUUGGGUCUU
This is a long non-coding RNA of Trachemys scripta elegans, 987 nucleotides long. RefSeq lists it as uncharacterized. NCBI's taxonomy places the organism in Eukaryota, Metazoa, Chordata, Testudines, Emydidae. The transcript is spliced from 2 exons. The record is from RefSeq and is a predicted model, not a curated record.